This 267-nucleotide ribosomal RNA is filed under the name uncultured Oscillospiraceae bacterium. Its description in RNAcentral is "partial 16S ribosomal RNA". It matches the Rfam family "Bacterial small subunit ribosomal RNA", at positions 75 to 339 of the family's 1533-position model. Lineage: Bacteria; Bacillati; Bacillota; Clostridia; Eubacteriales; Oscillospiraceae. The record is from RNAcentral.
AGAGCUUGCUUUCUCGAGCGAGUGGCGAACGGGUGAGUAACGCGUGAGGAACCUGCCUCAAAGAGGGGGACAACAGUUGGAAACGACUGCUAAUACCGCAUGAUGUUUCGAGAGGACAUCCUCUUGAAACCAAAGGAGCAAUCCGCUGUAAGAUGGCCUCGCGUCUGAUUAGAUAGUUGGUGGGGUAACGGCCUACCAAGUCGACGAUCAGUAGCCGGACUGAGAGGUUGAACGGCCACAUUGGGACUGAGACACGGCCCAGACUCC